ACUAAAGUGUAGAAGAGGAUAAGUAAAAAAAGGAUGCUUUAAAGAGAAAACCAUCACCGGCUGAAAGUGGUUUAAGCCUCUCGUUUUUUGAAAUGCACCUCUGAGCCCUGUUUCGAAAAGAGUCAACUUCUAGUAGAAAUGGGCGGAACCUAUCCGUUAACAGGUAGAGUGAGACCCAUAUUAAGCUUUCCGUUACCAAAACGAGCUUUUCGGUCUAAUCAGAGUGGAACCGCGCAUAAGCGUCUCUGUC
Molecule: non-coding RNA, 250 nt
Filed under: Bacillus sp. (in: firmicutes)
Lineage: Bacteria; Bacillati; Bacillota; Bacilli; Caryophanales; Bacillaceae
Description: Bacillus sp. T-box sequence
Rfam family: T-box leader
About the family: Uncharged tRNA acts as the effector for transcription antitermination of genes in the T-box leader family. T-boxes are found upstream of many aminoacyl-tRNA synthetase genes and some amino acid biosynthetic genes usually in Gram-positive bacteria.
Source: RNAcentral